CGGGCGGACGCUGCCUGCGCGCCGGGCUGCUCUGCCAGCGCCGCUGGUCUAAUUAGAACCUGAUUGUGGCCUUGUCACCUCUGCAGUCAGUGACAGAUACAUUAUGUCCCACCACUGCUUAUGUGCCUGCUUUGUCUGACUUUCUGUGGAUUCCAGCAGCGAGUGACUUGUGACAUGCUUAUUUAAAGGGCUUCAUCACUCCCAUGUAUAAUACAGAGAUUUCUCUAGUGAUAAAAAGGGAUCUCUGGAUGGAGCAAAGCAGGGAAGACUAA
Molecule: long non-coding RNA, 272 nt
Filed under: Manacus vitellinus (golden-collared manakin)
Lineage: Eukaryota; Metazoa; Chordata; Aves; Passeriformes; Pipridae
Description: lncRNA (ENSMVIG00005010284.1)
Source: RNAcentral